GAUGAAGAACGUAGUGAAAUGCGAUAAGUAAUGUGAAUUGCAGAAUUCAGUGAAUCAUCGAAUCUUUGAACGCACAUUGCGCCCGCCAGCAUUCUGGCGGGCAUGCCUGUUCGAGCGUCAUUUCAACCCUCGACCUCCCCUUGGGGAAGUCGGCGUUGGGGACCGGCAGUAUACCGCCGGCCCCGAAAUGGAGUGGCGGCCCGUCCGCGGCGACCUCUGCGUAGUAAUCCAACCUCGCACCGGAACCCCGACGUGGCCACGCCGUAAAACCCCCAACUUUCUGAACGUUGACCUCGGAUCAGGUAGGAAUACCCGCUGAACUUAAGCAUAUCAAUAAGCGGAGGA
This 345-nucleotide unclassified non-coding RNA is filed under the name soil metagenome. RNAcentral describes it as "partial contains 5.8S ribosomal RNA, internal transcribed spacer 2, and large subunit ribosomal RNA". The stretch from base 1 to 120 matches the Rfam family "5.8S ribosomal RNA", at positions 35 to 154 of the family's 154-position model. The record is from RNAcentral.